GGAGAUGCAACAAGGACACUGAUGCAUGUAUGUAAAAAUUUUUUGUUUGAAGGUGCCAUGUGUGUUAAGAAAAACCCGCGCGUGAGGGAUCCUGGUCCGACGCAGGUAAGUCCACCAUCCCAGGGGUGAUAACUCUCAUACCUCCCUAGGCCUAAGUAUGAGAGCUUUCCGACAUUAACGAGGACUAUGUCAACUCGUCGUCGGACACACUGCGGCUUCAUCCUUACACCCUCACGCCUGUGAAGAAAGGCAAUGAAUUAUCGGUGCAAGAGUGCAGUUAUUCUAGUAAGAUUAGUUACACCGCUGGAGAAGUUGGCAGUAUUGUUGCCGAUCUCCCUUAUGCUCGUAAUCGAUAAGUUUCGGAACGCAGCUCUCUCUGUCUCGCGCCAUUCCAUGUGGAACGUGUGUUUAUUUUAUCCUCUGUACUAAUAAAGAUUCGUACAAUUAUACCACUGCGUACUGGUUUAUUUCGGUUAAACCUAACAACGCCCACCUGCAAGGCAGCGCGCCUUCGCUGGCAUCGUUACCUCAACAAACCUGAGAACGAAUCAUUCUACACAUCCCCUUUCGGGGCAGUUGUCAUCGUUACAGUAUCUGUCAAGGCAGCAGGAUUUUAUGCUAAAAAAAUGACUAACAAGUUCUAUGUACCCAACGCUGAAUACAAAAGUUUAUAUCAGGAAACAAAAUGCAAUCUGACCGAGUCAAACCGACUCCGGAUUCGGAUUCAGCGACCCCAAAAACGUAUAGAAAUGUAUGUCUCGUCUGGUGGACAAAACCUUUUUUUUUUCGUGUGCCUGUGUUAUCAACAAUAUUAGAAGAGGGACUUGUGAGUUAUGCGAACCAAUUGAUACUAUUAAGGUUCAUUGAUCAUAUGAAGUUUGCACACGUCAAGCUUGAUAUCCUAAAGAUCACAAUUCAUUCUGAAAACGAUACCGUGCAGGUUCGUUGGCGUAUACGUGGUGUCGUCACAGGCUGGAAGGUAUUUUCUAUGUUUUGGAAGUAAAAUUUGGAAAAUACAACAUGUCAUAAAAUAAGCGCUAACCAGGAAAUGUGGUACGACGGCUUUUUUACGUUAAUGCUGAAUGGAAAAGUCUAUAAGCAUAUUGCGGACAAGAUGAUGCCUAAUCAGGAUACAGCCACAAAAAAGAAAGAUAUGCGCAUGGCAAGGAAAUUAGCGCUAUUCACAGGCCUUGUAAGCAUAUUUAGUAACAACGAGGAUUCUUUGAAUUGAGCUCUGUCUUAAAAUCGCAUCAAUUGAAGUGAAUCCACUGCUGAGUGCUGAAAUUAUACGAUUUUAUCCGUCACAACGAAUAGACCAAGAUGAGGAAUGCUUUUUCCAGUCGAUGGUUUCGAAUGUUGCUGACGUAUCUAUUUCGUUGCAAAUGCAUCAUUAUAAAAUGAUGAUCGGUAGUAAAUGAGAGAUAUGUGAAUUAAAAAGAU
This is an RNA transcript of Temnothorax curvispinosus, 1440 nucleotides long. RefSeq lists it as uncharacterized. The record is from RefSeq and is a predicted model, not a curated record. Lineage: Eukaryota; Metazoa; Arthropoda; Insecta; Hymenoptera; Formicidae. The transcript is spliced from 4 exons.